GCCUGGGUAGCUCAGUGGUUGAGCAUCUGCCUUUGACUCAGGGUGUGAUCUCGGAGUCUGGGAUCCAGUCCCACAUCAGGCU
This 82-nucleotide transfer RNA is filed under the name Canis lupus familiaris (dog). It matches the Rfam family "tRNA". Rfam says of the family: Transfer RNA (tRNA) molecules are approximately 80 nucleotides in length. Their secondary structure includes four short double-helical elements and three loops (D, anti-codon, and T loops). Further hydrogen bonds mediate the characteristic L-shaped molecular structure. tRNAs have two regions of fundamental functional importance: the anti-codon, which is responsible for specific mRNA codon recognition, and the 3' end, to which the tRNAs corresponding amino acid is attached (by aminoacyl-tRNA synthetases). tRNAs cope with the degeneracy of the genetic code in two manners: having more than one tRNA (with a specific anti-codon) for a particular amino acid; and 'wobble' base-pairing, i.e. permitting non-standard base-pairing at the 3rd anti-codon position. RNAcentral also lists the same sequence under 3 other names. The record is from Rfam by way of RNAcentral. Lineage: Eukaryota; Metazoa; Chordata; Mammalia; Carnivora; Canidae.